AGUUCACAGGUAGCGCAACCUGUCUCGUAGUGUUCAUUUUCAAUGGCUAUUAAACGCUGUAAAUGAAAAUGACAUCUUGUACUAAUGGAUGUCUUCAGUCGAAGAAGGUUCGGAAAUGAUAUUUCCAUAUGCUUAAAAUAGGUUGGGAGGUUAUUUUUCAAGACCCCGAGGAAGUGUGAGGUGUAUGGAAUCAGCUGUGAAGGAUCUGGAAAGCAGGUGUUUUACCUCGCAGAGGAAGGCCAGUCAUAUGGUAAAGGUGCAAAUGCUGUGGUCAGCCAGGUUCACCACUACCUCAACACAUACGGUCUUUGCGAACAGCAUGCUCACUUUCAGUGUGACAACUGUUGCAGCCAAAAUAAAAACAACAUAGCCAUCUGGUACCUUCUGUGGAGAGUUCUUGUAGGUAAUAACAAGCCCU
Molecule: long non-coding RNA, 418 nt
Organism: Dreissena polymorpha
Lineage: Eukaryota; Metazoa; Mollusca; Bivalvia; Myida; Dreissenidae
Exons: 3
Source: RefSeq, a predicted model, not a curated record